UCCGAUGUGGUCUAGUGGCUAGGAUUUGCCGCUCUCAUGUGUUGAUUCACGGAAGCACCGGCAAGGCCGGGGUUCAAUUCCCCGCAUCGGAA
This is a non-coding RNA of Delphinella strobiligena, 92 nucleotides long. Lineage: Eukaryota; Fungi; Ascomycota; Dothideomycetes; Dothideales; Dothioraceae. The record is from the annotation of a GenBank genome assembly.